Molecule: ribosomal RNA, 433 nt
Filed under: uncultured bacterium
Lineage: Bacteria
Description: partial 16S ribosomal RNA
Rfam family: Bacterial small subunit ribosomal RNA
Source: RNAcentral
AACGAACGCUGGCGGCAUGCCUAACACAUGCAAGUCGAACGAAACCUUCGGGACCUGUGGCGUCCGGGUGCGUAACGCGUGGGAACCUGCCCUUGGGUUCGGCAUAACUAUACGACUGGGGUGCCAAUACCGGAUCAUGUCUUAGGCCGAAUGAUUUAUCGCAUUUGGUUGGACCCGAGUUGGAUUAGCUUGUUCGUAGGGUAAAAGCCUACUACGGCGACGAUCCAUAGCUGGUCUGAGAGGCUGCUCAGCCACACUGGGACUGAGACACGGCCCAGACUCCUACGGGAGGCAGCAGUGGGGAAUGGUGGACAAUGGGCGAAAUCAUGAACCAGCAAUGCCGCGUGAGUUAUGAAGGCCUGAGAGUUGUAAAGCGCUAUUACCCAUGAUGAUAAUGACAGUACCGGGAGAAUAAGCUCCGGCUAACUCCGUG